GGCUUCAGUUACUAGCUAAGCUAAUGAGUUUAGUUCUCAGUUUGGCACCUUGAUACCUUUAGGUGUGAGUGUUCCUAUUUCCAGGUGAGGAACUGAGGUGCAAUGAGAAGCCCUGAUCCCAUAAAAGGACAGGAAUGCUGAAUUCCGCCAGACCAUGCAUCUCUUGCUAGUAGGUGAGGCGAGUCUCUAACUGAUUGCAGCGUCUUCUAUUUUCCAGGUCAAGUACUUGCUGCUGUCAAUAUUGGGGCUUGCCUUUCUGAGUGAGGCAGCAGCUCGGAAAAUCCCCAAAGUAGGACACGCUUUUUUCCAAAAGCCUGAGAGUUGCCCGCCUGUGCCAGGAGGUAGUAUGAAGCUUGACAUUGGCAUCAUCAACGAAAACCAGCGUGUUUCCAUGUCACGUAACAUCGAGAGCCGCUCCACCUCCCCCUGGAAUUACACUGUCACUUGGGACCCCAACCGGUACCCCUCAGAAGUUGUACAGGCCCAAUGUAGGAACUUGGGCUGCAUCAAUGCUCAAGGAAAGGAAGACAUCUCCAUGAAUUCCGUUCCCAUCCAGCAAGAGACCCUGGUCGUCCGGAGGAAGCACCAAGGCUGCUCUGUUUCUUUCCAGUUGGAGAAGGUGCUGGUGACUGUUGGCUGCACCUGCGUCACCCCUGUAAUCCACCAUGUGCAGUAAGAGGUGCACAUCUACUCAGCUGAAGAAGCUGUAGAAAUGCCACUCCUUACCCAGUGCUCUGCAACAAGUCUUGUCUGACCCCCAAUUCCCUCCACUUCACAGGACUCUUAAUAAGACCUGCAUGGAUAGAAACAGAAAAUAUUCACAAUGUAUGUGUGUAUGUACUACACUUUAUAUUUGAUAUCUAAAAUGUUAGGAGAAAAAUUAAUAUAUUCAGUGCUAAUAUAAUAAAGUAUUAAUAAUUUAAAAA
RNAcentral lists this small RNA (926 nucleotides) under Pongo abelii (Sumatran orangutan). Its description in RNAcentral is "retained intron". Lineage: Eukaryota; Metazoa; Chordata; Mammalia; Primates; Hominidae. The record is from RNAcentral.